UUUUUGGCUGUGAAGAGGAUUAGUACAUGUAAGCCGGCUCAGAGAGGAAAUCAGAUGGUGCGAGAUUUCUGCCUAACACUUAUAUGGAACCGGCCUUGGAGCCUCUGUAUGAAAAUACAGCGCUUAUCAGCGAUAACGAUAAAUGAGAGAACUGUAAGUGGGUUACAGUUAACUAGGGUGGUACCGCCGAGCUUUUCGGUCCCUUUC
RNAcentral lists this non-coding RNA (207 nucleotides) under Dorea sp. RNAcentral describes it as "T-box sequence". It matches the Rfam family "T-box leader". From Rfam's summary of the family: Uncharged tRNA acts as the effector for transcription antitermination of genes in the T-box leader family. T-boxes are found upstream of many aminoacyl-tRNA synthetase genes and some amino acid biosynthetic genes usually in Gram-positive bacteria. The record is from RNAcentral. Lineage: Bacteria; Bacillati; Bacillota; Clostridia; Lachnospirales; Lachnospiraceae.